GAAAUCAUGCCAAAUACCAUGGUUAAACAGGAUGUUUAAACAAUCACACGAGACACUCAGUAGACGACAAUUGUCUCGCUCUUAGACAGAAGAAAAAAAAUCCGGAAACUUCCUCACCUCCUCUCUACGCAAAUACGUGCUCGCGUAAUUGAAUAACAAAUCGAUAUAAUAAUUUUUGCGCUGAAAAAGGAAAAAAACAGAAAGAAAGAAAGAUGGAAAGGAGCUACGAGCUAUUCGAAGGCUAAAAGCUUUCCUCUGUGACACUGGUCCCUGGCCCAGGCGUAAUUGAUACAUCAGAUUCGAGAUGCUUUCAAUCGCGCCGGGUGUCCCAAGAUGAAGUAGCCCGCCCGUCUGAUCUCGAGCGUUAAUUACGUUUCGCCUUGGCGGGAAGGACGUCGUCGUCGUCGUCGUUCCAUCUUGCGCGAAGAUCAGAGAGAGGCUAGAGCCAGAAGCGACCAGCCGAGUUGUCGUAUUUACAUCGGACCAAUGAACCUCUCUGGGAUUCUCAUCGGAAGAGGAGAACGCUGUGAAACGUCCUUUGAUGCCCGCCUGAUUCCAUUUCUAGAGAAGAUAUGUAGUAAGGACGGCCUCGAUUCGCCGAGCAUGGAGCAUCCGGUAUAUCAAAAAGACGUGGAAUUUCUUCCGCUUUGAAUUGCUGUUUUAUUUCUUCUUUAGAACAAAAAGGGAAGAAAGCUACAGCUUGCAUGAACAAUACAAUGCGGUUUAGGUUAACAGGGUAUUAAAUAUUGUUCCAAUUGUAUUAAAUGUUGUUCCAAUUGUUUCCAGUUUCUGACUUUAUUCGUGACAGCUGCCAGUAAUAAGAGGUCGUUUGCUUCGAUCGUUUCAUUUUCAUCAACACCUUGGCAACAUUCGCAGAAUUUCGAAUUACGCACACUCAGUUUUAAUUUAGCAGCUGUUUUCAAUCGCUAGUCAGCUAAAUCAUGAGCAGCUUGUAAAACUGAAACAGCUGCGUCAUGUGUACUUGGCCUCCGAAUUGAAAAAUUGGUCGUCCCAACUGCUCCGCUAAUUCCGGCGAUUCCGAAAAUUUUCGUCGAAGACACUGCACCGACGAGGGACAAACGGGGCAAUAAAACGUGGGGAUGUGACGCGAAAGGAAGGACGUGAGGGAGGAAAUCCGUGAACGGCGACCCGCGGACGGGAAACUUCCACGGCGGUUCCGCGAGUGGCGGGGCCGGGAUUGGCGAAAACAAAAUCUCGAAUACGAAAGUCGAAAGAACAGAUAGACGGGAGGAAGAAAGGGAUUUGCCGAGCCGCUGAUUAGCCCACGAUAAUUAUUAUCGAUAUAGUAAUUUGUUAAUUUUUAAUUUUGAACAACAAAAACAUUACACUUUUGUGAUAUUUUGAAGUUUCU
Frieseomelitta varia is the source of this 1372-nucleotide long non-coding RNA. RefSeq lists it as uncharacterized. The record is from RefSeq and is a predicted model, not a curated record. NCBI's taxonomy places the organism in Eukaryota, Metazoa, Arthropoda, Insecta, Hymenoptera, Apidae. The transcript has 3 exons.